This 23-nucleotide small nuclear RNA is filed under the name Arabidopsis thaliana (thale cress). Its description in RNAcentral is "snRNA_02832". The record is from RNAcentral. Lineage: Eukaryota; Viridiplantae; Streptophyta; Magnoliopsida; Brassicales; Brassicaceae.
AAAUAACAACAGAUUCUGCAUGG